AGAAUGAACGCUGGCGGCGUGCCUAACACAUGCAAGUCGAACGCGAAAGCGACCUUCGGGUCGCAAGUAGAGUGGCGAACGGGUGAGUAACACGUGGGUAACCUGCCCUGGAGUGGGGAACAACUUGGGGAAACUCGAGCUAAUACCGCAUACGUUCCGAGGAUCUCGAUCCUCGAAAGAAAGGUAGCCUCUGAUUCAAGCUGCCGCUCCUGGAGGGACCCGCGCCCGAUUAGCUAGUUGGUGGGGUAAUGGCCUACCAAGGCGACGAUCGGUAGCCGGCCUGAGAGGGCGAUCGGCCACACUGGAACUGAGACACGGUCCAGACUCCUACGGGAGGCAGCAGUGGGGAAUAUUGCGCAAUGGGCGAAAGCCUGACGCAGCAACGCCGCGUGAAGGAUGAAGGCCUUCGGGUCGUAAACUUCUGUCAGGUGGGGAGAAAGCUGGCCGGUUAAUAGCUGGUUAGUUUGACGGUACCACCACAGGAAGCCCCGGCUAACUCCGUGCCAGCAGCCGCGGUAAUACGGAGGGGGCAAGCGUUAUUCGGAUUCAUUGGGCGUAAAGGGCGCGUAGGCGGCUUGAUAAGUCAACGGUGAAAUCCCUCGGCUCAACCGAGGAACUGCCUUUGAAACUGUCUGGCUAGAGUCCGGGAGAGGGUAGCGGAAUUCCCAGUGUAGCGGUGAAAUGCGUAGAUAUUGGGAGGAACACCAGUGGCGAAGGCGGCUACCUGGACCGGUACUGACGCUGAGGCGCGAAAGCGUGGGGAGCAAACAGGAUUAGAUACCCUGGUAGUCCACGCUGUAAACGAUGGGCACUCGGUGCUGCGGGUAUCGACCCCUGCAGUGCCUUAGCUAACGCGUUAAGUGCCCCGCCUGGGGAGUACGGUCGCAAGGCUG
This 893-nucleotide ribosomal RNA is filed under the name uncultured bacterium. Its description in RNAcentral is "bacterial SSU rRNA". It matches the Rfam family "Bacterial small subunit ribosomal RNA", at positions 26 to 896 of the family's 1533-position model. The record is from RNAcentral.